UGUGUUUAUUCUCCCCAGUCCCUAGCUCCACCUUUUCUGCAACAAAUGUCAGCAUGGUGGUAUCUGCUGGCCCUUGGUCCAGUGAGAAGGCAGAGAUGAACAUCCUAGAAAUCAGUGAGAAUUUGCAUCCCCAGCUGGCAGAGAACAAACAGCAGUUCAGAAAUAUCAAAGAGAAAUUUCUUAUAACUCAAGUGGCCUACUUCCUGGCCAACCAGCAGAGCACAUACCAGUAUGAAGAGUGCAAAGACCUCAUAAAAUCUAUGCUGAGGGAUGAGCUUCAGUUCAAGGAGGAGAAGGUUGCAGAGCAGCUCAGGCAGGCUAAGGAGCUCAGGCAAUAUAAAGUCCUGGUUCACUCUCAGGAAUGAGAGCUGACCCAGUUAAGGGAGAAGUUAUGGGAAGGGAGAGAUGCCUCCUGCUCAUCAAAUCAGCAUCUCCAGGCCCUCCUCGCUCCGGAUGAGCCAGACAAGUCCCAGGGCAGGACCUCCAAGAACAGCUGGCUGAAGGGUGUAGGCUGGCACAGCACCUUGUCCAAAAGCUCAGCCCAGAAAAUGAUGAAGAUGAGGAUGAAGAUGUUAAAGUUGAGGAGGCUGAAAAAGUACAGGAAUCAUGUGCCCCCAGAGAGGUGCAGAAGGCUGAAGAAAGGGAAAUCCCUGAGGACUCACUGGAGGCAUGUGCCGUCCCUUGUUCAAAUAGCCACAGCCCUUGUGACUCCAACAAGCCACACAGAAACACCAAAAUCACAUUUGAGGAAGACAAAGUCGACUCAACUGUCAUUGACUCAUCUUCUCGUGAUGAAUGGGAGGAUGCUGUACAAAUUAUCCCAGGUAGCCUCUGUAUUCCUUUGAUUUGGCCAUAUGUGAAGUGUGAAUUGCUUAAUGUGACCUCUUCUCUGAAUUUAUUUACAGAAAAUGAAAGUGUUUAUGAGGAAGAGGAAGAAAAAGGGCCAGUGUCUCCCAGGCUCAGCAGGGAGCUGCUGGAAGAGAAAGAGCUGAAGUCUUACAGGACUCACUGGAUAGAUGUUAUUCGACUCCUCCUGGUUAUCUUGAACUGCCUGACUUAUGCCAGCCCUACAGAAGUGCCUUUUACUCAUUGGAGGAAGAGUACCUUGGCUUGGCUCUUGACGUGGACAGAAUUAAAAAGGACCAAGAAGAGGGAGAAGACCAAGGCCCACCAUGCCCCAGGCUCAGCAGGGAACUGCUGGAGGUAGUAGAGCCUGAAGUCUUGCAGGACUCACUGAAUAGUUAUUAUUUGACUCCUUCCAGUUAUCUUGAACUGCCAGAUUCAUGCCAGUCCUACGGAAAUUCCUUUUACUCAUUGGAGGAAUGACACAUUGGCUUUUCUCUUGAUGUGGACGAAACUGACAAGUACCAAGAAGGGGAAGAAGAUCAAAACACACCAAAUUCAAAACCCAUCAAAUUCACACAUAACAAUAUUAACCUUAAACGUAAAUGGGUAAAUGCCCCAAUUAAAAGACACAGCUGGGUUCGUCAGCAUGACCAGGAAGAUAAAGAUGAGAUUAAUGAGCUUCUUAACUAG
Molecule: non-coding RNA, 1536 nt
Organism: Macaca mulatta (Rhesus monkey)
Lineage: Eukaryota; Metazoa; Chordata; Mammalia; Primates; Cercopithecidae
Source: RefSeq, a predicted model, not a curated record